AGCGAACGCUGGCGGCAGGCUUAACACAUGCAAGUCGAGCGGGUGUAGCAAUUCACCAGCGGCAGACGGGUGAGUAACGCGUGGGAACGUACCUUUUGGUUCGGAACAACCCAGGGAAACUUGGGCUAAUACCGGAUAAGCCCUUACGGGGAAAGAUUUAUCGCCGAAAGAUCGGCCCGCGUCUGAUUAGCUAGUUGGUG
RNAcentral lists this ribosomal RNA (200 nucleotides) under uncultured bacterium. RNAcentral's name for it is "partial 16S ribosomal RNA". It matches the Rfam family "Bacterial small subunit ribosomal RNA", at positions 29 to 254 of the family's 1533-position model. The record is from RNAcentral.